AGUGAACGCUGGCGGUAGGCCUAACACAUGCAAGUCGAACGGCAGCACAGUAAGAGCUUGCUCUUACGGGUGGCGAGUGGCGGACGGGUGAGGAAUACAUCGGAAUCUACUUUUUCGUGGGGGAUAACGUAGGGAAACUUACGCUAAUACCGCAUACGACCUACGGGUGAAAGCAGGGGAUCUUCGGACUUUGCGCGAUUGAAUGAGCCGAUGUCGGAUUAGCUGGUUGGCGGGGUAAAGGCCCACCAAGGCGACGAUCCGUAGCUGGUCUGAGAGGAUGAUCAGCCACACUGGAACUGAGACACGGUCCAGACUCCUACGGGAGGCAGCAGUGGGGAAUAUUGGACAAUGGGCGCAAGCCUGAUCCAGCCAUACCGCGUGGGUGAAGAAGGCCUUCGGGUUGUAAAGCCCUUUUGUUGGGAAAGAAAAGCAGCAGGUUAAUACCCCGCUGUUCUGACGGUACCCAAAGAAUAAGCACCGGCUAACUUCGUG
This 492-nucleotide ribosomal RNA is filed under the name uncultured bacterium. RNAcentral's name for it is "partial 16S ribosomal RNA". It matches the Rfam family "Bacterial small subunit ribosomal RNA", at positions 29 to 507 of the family's 1533-position model. The record is from RNAcentral.